UUUUAUUGCUAAAAUUUCUGCUUUUAGUGAAUUUAAGGGUUAGAUAUGCAAUUGCAAUUGUGCUUGGCAAUUUUAAACUUCAGAUAUGCAAUUGCUCAUAUUUGACUUUCUGAUAUUGCUACGUAUAGGGUGAUUUAAAUUUUUUCUUCUAAAUUUGAACUGUAUUGUUCUAUUGCUGAUAACCUCCAUUUGUGUCUUCUAUUGUCUCCAUUCCACAUUUCUUUUCUCUGUAGGAAUUAUUGAAGGAUGUGUCGAUUUGGGAGAGAAGAAUUAUAAGUGCAUUUACUGUGGAGCACUUUUUUGGUUAAAAGAAUCCAUUCAGCAGCAAGAAGAAGCUUGUAAGCAAGCAACUGCCCAAAUCUGUCUCUCUCUCUAGAUUUUGCAAGGAUCUCCUAAAUACUUGGAGAAGACUGAGAAUUCCACAAAGCAUCGCAACUCUAACGACACUUGGCUGCUCACUUUAAAGAACAGUUUGUCGGUAUGGAAGUACUCUCAUACAGUUCUGCACCAUGCUAUGAUACUGUUAAUUUAAGGUGGAAAUUGAUUGUGAUAAGCUCAAGUUCACAUCAAUUCAGUCUCCUAGGUUUUAGAAAAAACAGAGUUUUUGGUGCUAAAUUUGAUGUUAGAAGGAAAUUUUUGAGCUGUUACAAUUUAGAUCAGCCUUUCUUGAAGCAACUAAAUCACCAAGGAGGUUUUAGGUCAUUAGACACCGGUGAAAACUUCAAACAUGUUGGUCCAAUUUUAUCAAGUGGAAGCUCUGAUGGCUACGUAAUUGAAGGGGAAGAGAAUGAAAGUAUUUCGAAAACAGGGGAACCAGUAACUAAAGUUUUGAGUCCUGGUCUACCAGAUGAAUCCAAAGGUGAAUCGGGUGCGCCAGUAAAUAGUUGCUUUUGAGAAUGAAAGCCCAAAUUAAGUGUGCAUUAUGAGAAAGCUGGAUGUGAAACCUUAGGCUCCCUUCCAGUGUUGUUUCUCCCUGGUUUUGGGGUUGGUUCCUUUCACUAUGAGAAGCAACUGAAGGAGUUGGGGCUUGAUUUUAGAGCACGGGCUAAGCAGCUGAAUGCAUGAUUGGUGUAUGCUAUGGUACUCCACAAGCGACAUUUGGAGGAAUUGCAUUAAAAUUCUUUGCCUCAAUUCGGCUUGAAAUACGUUCUACAGGGAAGAUAAAGUCUGUAAAUGGAGAUGAAGUAAUUGGAGUUCGGGUUCGUGUAAGAGUGCAAAAGAGCAAGGUAAUUUUGAAUGCAUCAAAAUGGAUUCUGUAUCUAUGAGGGUUGUACACCAUGUACAGAAAGAACAUUUCUAUUACUUUUGCCUUUAUGAUUACUUGAGCAGUAAUUGCACUUUCAAUAUAAAUUUCAUAACUGGUAUGAAGUAUGACAAGUUGUCUUGCCAAUUCUUAAAGGUUAUGUCUAAUUUCUCAAAGUUUUUUUUGUCCCAAUUCUACACUUUGCUAUAAGUGCAGCCUGUGACCAUGAAAACAAUUGUAACAAUCGACAAAUUGUUAAAUUCCCCUUUUGAUACAACAAGAUUUGGAGAAAUCCAAUCUUGAAGGGUCACCAAGUUCCGUGAAUACAAGCGUACACAUAGUAUCAUUUGCCAUUAUUUUGAUGCUACCAUAUACUGUGAGGUAUAGUGGGUUGUUGGUGUCACUUGUGCAAUUUAGCCAGUAAUCAGCUAUAUGUUGCUCAUCUGGAUAAAGCAAAUGAUAGUAUGCCUCAUAUUGGCCACCAGUGGACUCCAAUAUUUUUCCUGCCCACUUGUUAUGCUCAAUUUGCAACCCAUUCGAAUAAUAGUUGAUUUGAUAGCCAUCAGGCUGAAAGAUGAAUUAUUAAACUAAAUAAACAUGUAAACAAAAAAAUCAAUCAAUUACGAUAAAGAAAAAAACAAAUAUAAAACACUUACAAACUGACUACCUUGGACCUGGCCACCCAAGAUAUGUGGGUUAUUGUCCAUCUGUAGAAUGGAAAAAACAAAAUUAUAAAAUCUGAAAACUGUUGUAAAUAAUUAGUUGUGGAGCCCACAUGUUCCCUAGGCUUUGCCGAUAAAAGGGUUCAUCCCUUCAUUGUUCAAUACACAUAGAAAUGAGAAUAAGAAACUCAGUUUCUCUACUUUCUCUCUCUCUCUCUCAAUUUCCUCUCCAAAUUCUCCAGUUUUAUAACACGUUAUCAGCACGAUUUCUCUACCUCCAAAAUUCAGAGCCUCAACGCUCUCUCUCUCUUUCUCUGCCAAGCCUCAAACCUUAACAACCGACCUCUGCUUUGUUUCCCAGCAUGUAGAUCACAAUAAAACAAGCAAGCAAGCAACCAUGGGUUUGUAAAUCACAGAUCCAGAUUUGUAAAACCAAUCACUCUUCACUGGAUACAUAAAAGCGGUAACAAAUUACCUACCCAACAGCUUCUCUCUCACACCGAUCAUCUUCCCCACCAACUGGCCUGAGCCUUAACAUAAGAAAAAUAAAAGAGCUCUCAUUUCAGAUCAGAAUUAUCAAUCCAAAGCAGAGAAAAGGGCUACGGCAGAUAAGUUCUCAUACUUUUCUUUAUCCUAAUUGUUUAUCACAUUAUUAUAUCUAUAAUAUUAUAUAAUCAUAAUAGAAGGCUAGCGGCAGGUUGAAGAAGUGAACCUAAGCUUCGAAGAUGUCUGGCCAUGGAAACAAAAUAUCAGACCAGUUUCCGGCAGGUAUCGGCCGGCUACACCAGCUCACAGUCCUCAACUUCGCCGACCAACCUCUCCAGCCUCAUGUACCUCGACCUCCGAAACAACAAAAUCUCAGGGGAGCUGCCCCGAGACUUCGGCCUGAGCAGAAACACUCUUCUUCUUCUUCCUCCACCUACUCCUCCGAACACAACCACCACAACCAUCACCAGAGCAACAGCAACAGCUCGAGACCACGACCAUGGGUUCGGACCCCAUAGCCAGCACCAGAGCAACAGCUCGAGCUCUGCCGCCGCCUCCGCCGAGGGUCAUGUUUCAGAGCCUGACUGGUAAGCCUCUGCAGGGACUGACCAUGAUUGAUCUGAACGACCUCGGGUGGCUCGUUUGACCAGAACUUGAAGGAGCUGGCUCAGAGAAAUCCAGUCCCAGUCCCACCAACUCCAGCAGCUGUGCCUGCAGCUGGAGACCAUGCCCUGAACCUGAACAUGCAAGCAACAAUGGAGAGACAAGCUUUCGGGCUUAGCAACAUAGUGAAGAAGCAGCAGAGCUUCUAAUGGCCUCAUCUCUUGCCUCUGCCGCUGGGGUGUUUUCCGGCCAGAAUCCCCACCAGGAACACGCCGUGGUUGCGGACGUAGUGGAGCGGCACCGGUGUGUUCUCCCUCACCGGGUUUGCUUUUGUUACUGUUGGUAGCAGUAAGUACGAAGGCUUCGCAGUUGCGGCAGCAGCAACAGCAGACGGAGGCUGAGGGCUGACGGAGAGUCUGGCCUUCCACCACUAGCUGUGCUUUGUGGUGUGGACGUGCAGUGGGUUUGCAUUCUGAGGUGAUGAGAUGUUGAAGCAGAGAGAUAGCAGCUGAAGCAAGAAGCAGCAAAUUGGUAUGAGGAGAUGGCGGCUAGCCCCUCCCACUGACUCUGAAACUCGUCGUCUCUCUCUCCUAACAAUAGGAGAGUGGAGUGAGCGUGGGGAGUGAGGCAGACCAUCGGCUUCACCUGGGGCCCCGCCGGAUUCUCCAUCUACAUAAUCAACCAGCCUCAUGUCCAAGUCAUUUUCUUCAUGGAAAAGGUUUUUGCAAUGGCCGCCAGCCAUGACAAGGCAACUUGGUCGUUGCUGUCUUUGGAGGCUUGCCAGAAAAUCGAAUAAAUAAAAAAAUAAAAAAAAUAAAAAAAAUAAAAAAAAAAGCAAGAGAGAGGCAGAAGAUGAGAAGUAGUGGAAGAAGAAAUUUGGUGCCGUCUGACUGGGUUAAAGAAAUUGAGUGAGUGGGUGAGGUUGUAGUACAAACGUGGUGGGACUAUUUGCGUCCCAUGGAUAAGCACAGAUUGGCUGGCUUUUGAGGAAAAUAUUGUUAACAAAUCUCACGCGGAGCUCCAUAAAAGCACAGCAGCUCAGGCACACGAGAUGCUGUCGGGUGGAAAGAAGAAAAGACAAGGAGAGGGUGAAAGAGAAAGCAACAGGCAAAAGUGGCCAACUUGAUUUUUGCAUUGUGGGCGGCAUUAUUGGUGCUGGGCAACUUGAUUUUUGCAUUGUGGGCGGCAUUAUUGGUGCUGGCCAACUUGCUUCAGGCAUAAGUUUUGAAGUUUUCUUUAAAGCCCCAUUGAUUGUGCCGCUAUCGAAAUUACACAUGCACACUAAAUGAUUGCCAGGCUUUACUGAUUGACAGCCACCCACUUGGUCUCUUGGUUUUGGAAUCUUAACGUGAACUUCGGUCGGGGUAAAUAUGACUUCUACUUUAUAAA
Prunus persica (peach) is the source of this 4383-nucleotide long non-coding RNA. RefSeq lists it as uncharacterized. The transcript is spliced from 6 exons. NCBI's taxonomy places the organism in Eukaryota, Viridiplantae, Streptophyta, Magnoliopsida, Rosales, Rosaceae. The record is from RefSeq and is a predicted model, not a curated record.